RNAcentral lists this ribosomal RNA (515 nucleotides) under uncultured bacterium. Its description in RNAcentral is "partial 16S ribosomal RNA". It matches the Rfam family "Bacterial small subunit ribosomal RNA", at positions 28 to 523 of the family's 1533-position model. The record is from RNAcentral.
GAUGAACGCUGGCGGCGUGCCUAAUACAUGCAAGUCGAGCGAAUGGAUUAAGAGCUUGCUCUUAUGAAGUUAGCGGCGGACGGGUGAGUAACACGUGGGUAACCUGCCCAUAAGACUGGGAUAACUCCGGGAAACCGGGGCUAAUACCGGAUAACAUUUUGAACUGCAUGGUUCAAAAUUGAAAGGCGGCUUCGGCUGUCACUUAUGGAUGGACCCGCGUCGCAUUAGCUAGUUGGUGAGGUAACGGCUCACCAAGGCAACGAUGCGUAGCCGACCUGAGAGGGGGAUCGGCCACACUGGGAGUGAGACACGGCCGAGACUCCUACGGGAGGCAGCAGUAGGGAAUCUUCCGCAAUGGACGAAAGUCUGACGGAGCAACGCCGCGUGAGUGAUGAAGGCUUUCGGGUCGUAAGACUCUGUUGUUAGGGAAGAACAAGUGCUAGUUGAAUAAGCUGGCACCUUGACGGUACCUAACCAGAAAGCCACGGCUAACUACGUGCCAGCCGCCGCGGUAA